This 468-nucleotide ribosomal RNA is filed under the name uncultured bacterium. RNAcentral's name for it is "partial 16S ribosomal RNA". It matches the Rfam family "Bacterial small subunit ribosomal RNA", at positions 28 to 507 of the family's 1533-position model. The record is from RNAcentral.
GACGAACGCUGGCGGCGUGCUUAACACAUGCAAGUCGAACGGAAAGGCCCUGCUUUUGUGGGGUGCUCGAGUGGCGAACGGGUGAGUAACACGUGAGUAACCUGCCCUUGACUUUGGGAUAACUUCAGGAAACUGGGGCUAAUACCGGAUAGGAGCUCCUGCUGCAUGGUGGGGGUUGGAAAGUUUCGGCGGUUGGGGAUGGACUCGCGGCUUAUCAGCUUGUUGGUGGGGUAGUGGCUUACCAAGGCUUUGACGGGUAGCCGGCCUGAGAGGGUGACCGGCCACAUUGGGACUGAGAUACGGCGCAGACGCGUACGGGCGGCAGCAGUGGGGAAUAUUGCACAAUGGGCGGAAGCCAGAUGUAGCAACGCCGCGUGCGGGAUGCCGGCCUUCGGGUUGUAAACCGAUUUCGCCUGUGACGAAGCGGGAGUGACGGUAAUGGGUAAAGAAGCACCGGCUAACUACGUG